AGUGGGGAAUCUUAGACAAUGGGGGAAACCCUGAUCUAGCCAUGCCGCGUGAUCGAUGAAGGCCUUAGGGUUGUAAAGAUCUUUCAGUUGGGAAGAUAAUGACGGUACCAACAGAAGAAGCCCCGGCUAACUCCGUGCCAGCAGCCGCGGUAAUACGGAGGGGGCUAGCGUUAUUCGGAAUUACUGGGCGUAAAGCGCACGUAGGCGGACUGGAAAGUCAGAGGUGAAAUCCCAGGGCUCAACCUUGGAACUGCCUUUGAAACUCCCAGUCUUGAGGUCGAGAGAGGUGAGUGGAAUUCCGAGUGUAGAGGUGAAAUUCGUAGAUAUUCGGAGGAACACCAGUGGCGAAGGCGGCUCACUGGCUCGAUACUGACGCUGAGGUGCGAAAGCGUGGGGAGCAAA
RNAcentral lists this ribosomal RNA (402 nucleotides) under uncultured Gemmobacter sp. RNAcentral describes it as "bacterial SSU rRNA". It matches the Rfam family "Bacterial small subunit ribosomal RNA", at positions 353 to 772 of the family's 1533-position model. Lineage: Bacteria; Pseudomonadati; Pseudomonadota; Alphaproteobacteria; Rhodobacterales; Paracoccaceae. The record is from RNAcentral.